RNAcentral lists this long non-coding RNA (734 nucleotides) under Sus scrofa (pig). RNAcentral's name for it is "lncRNA (ENSSSCG00000055986.1, ENSSSCG00025071835.1, ENSSSCG00045000375.1)". Lineage: Eukaryota; Metazoa; Chordata; Mammalia; Artiodactyla; Suidae. The record is from RNAcentral.
GGGCGCCGCUCCGCCUCUCGCCUUUGCCUGGGCGUACCGUCUGUUCGUCCUCCUGUGACCCCGGGGACUCCGCUGGGCGGCCCGUGGCUGUGUUGGCCGCUGUCCGGAUGCGACUACCCCAAGGGCACCCAAGCAGAACAAACACUACCAGGAAGCGAGGCCUGCAAUCCUUCACUUGUCAGGGUGGGAACUGAAAAAAACAUUGAACUACUGGUGGAGUUUUAUUCCAGCACCCCAACAAGAUACAGCAGGGAAGUGGAAAUUAAGAGACAAAAUUGUUCUUAUACCUUGGGAAAGGUGAGAACUGGAAAGAAGGAAGAAAGGAGCUGACUGAACUAAGCACAGCAUAGUAAUUAGCUCAAAGAAAGUAAGUCAUGAGAUGGGAUUCAGCCAGAAAAUUAAUAAGCAAAGCACGAUAUUAGGCCUCUAAAAAAUAUAUGGGUCCUUGACCUACCUCUUAGUUGUCAGUGACAUUUGUCAUAGCAAGUACAAUAUAUGUCAGAAUGUAAAAUCAUGUAUAUGCCAGUAACACUCUAUUAAAUAAAAUUUUGGGCCACCCCGUGGCAUAUGGAGCUCCCCAGCCAGGGAUCAGAUCAGAGCCACAGUCUCAACCUAAGCCACAGCUGCAGCAAUGCCGGAUCCCUAACCCACUGUGCUGGGCCAGGGAUUAAACCAAGACACUGCCAAUCCCAUUGUACCACAGCCGGAGCUCCUAAAUAAAAUAUUUUAAAUGU